GGGAUCAUUACCGAGUUUACAACUCCCAAACCCAAUGUGAACGUUACCAAACUGUUGCCUCGGCGGGAUCUCUGCCCCGGGUGCGUCGCAGCCCCGGACCAAGGCGCCCGCCGGAGGACCAACCAAAACUCUUAUUGUAUACCCCCUCGCGGGUUUUUUUAUAAUCUGAGCCUUCUCGGCGCCUCUCGUAGGCGUUUCGAAAAUGAAUCAAAACUUUCAACAACGGAUCUCUUGGUUCUGGCAUCGAUGAAGAACGCAGCGAAAUGCGAUAAGUAAUGUGAAUUGCAGAAUUCAGUGAAUCAUCGAAUCUUUGAACGCACAUUGCGCCCGCCAGUAUUCUGGCGGGCAUGCCUGUCCGAGCGUCAUUUCAACCCUCGAACCCCUCCGGGGGGUCGGCGUUGGGGAUCGGCCCUCCCUUAGCGGGUGGCCGUCUCCGAAAUACAGUGGCGGUCUCGCCGCAGCCUCUCCUGCGCAGUAGUUUGCACACUCGCAUCGGGAGCGCGGCGCGUCCACAGCCGUUAAACACCCAACUUCUGAAAUGUUGACCUCGGAUCAGGUAGGAAUACCCGC
RNAcentral lists this ribosomal RNA (570 nucleotides) under fungal isolate from Newtonia buchananii wood. RNAcentral describes it as "eukaryotic LSU rRNA". The stretch from base 212 to 365 matches the Rfam family "5.8S ribosomal RNA". Lineage: Eukaryota; Fungi. The record is from RNAcentral.